Molecule: long non-coding RNA, 7852 nt
Organism: Onychostruthus taczanowskii (white-rumped snowfinch)
Lineage: Eukaryota; Metazoa; Chordata; Aves; Passeriformes; Passeridae
Exons: 4
Source: RefSeq, a predicted model, not a curated record
UAUGUAAGUUCUAAGUGAUACUUUAAAAACAGGUCUGAAUGUCAUCCCACAGCCUCAAGUAUCUUCAGGAAAGUGUUACUAAUCCAAGCAGAUUGUAGAACUUUAAAAACAAACAGAAAAACAAACAAACAGAAAACCCUUUAUUUGGAUAUUCUGAAAAGUUUCUUUUCCUCAUUCCAUUUACAUUAAUUAAAAAGACAGAAUAAGAGGAUUAGUUGCAAUAUACUGCAAUGUCCAAAAUAAUUUUCUUUGGAGCCUUGGUUGUGUUUUGUAUCAAUGUUUAGGGAUAUACUUCCUAUCUUCAGUCUCUGCAGUUAAUUCCAGGGAUACCAGUAACACAAUAUGGAAUUUCAUUCUCUUUACAUGGAAAACAUAUUAUGACUCACUCUGCUAAAUUACAUGUUGGAGAAAAAAUGCUCAAAUGCUUCAUACAAAGUAAUGUGGAUAUUUACAGGGAAAGUUUUCACAUACAUCUUUUUUUAUUCUGGAUAAAACACAGCAGUUUAUUGCAUGCAGUAUUGGGAACCUUUUAGUAAAAUUUUACAGAUUAAAUACAUAUCCAAAUUUUUUGCCUUCGAAGCUGAAAUGUAAGAAGUAUAUCAGAUAUGAAUCAAAGCCCAAAUGCCCUCAGUUACCUGACAGAGCCAGCCAAAAAGUUGAUAUCUUUAGAACAAAUGGUGAUAGGCCUUAUCCAGGAGCAUUUCUGGCAGCCUGUUAGAGUGGGAUAAGAUAUUACAACUGCUCUGAAAUUACAGAGUGACUCUUGUAUUUCAGAAUGUUCAGAACUUUGUUUUAAAUAUAGUUUGUGAGCCCAGUCAGUGAGUCUUUAUUUCUGGACUAAUCAUUACUUAGAGAGGAAUAUAUAUUGACCAAAUAGCAGUAAAUUGAAAUCUUUCCUCCUUGAAAUGGAGGCUUGCAGCAAAGGAAAGAUUCCCGUCUAGUUUAUUUCUUAGUCAAGACUUGACAGUGUCUAUUUCCAAGUUAACAUGUAUAUGUUUAUAUAUAUAUACUGAUAGGAGAAUUAAUGUAAAACUAAUGGAAAUUGCCCCUUCCAAGUGGGUUUCAAAUAUGCCAGUUGCUCUUCAUUGUGUGUUUGGUCAUUUAUAAAAUUGUAUAAUGUAUAUUACUUAAUGUUAAUGCUCACCAGUUCUUUUGCUACUUUUUUUUUUUUUUUUUUUCAGAAAAGCUAUCUGUAGUUUGGUUUAGUGAAUGUUCUGUCUUCUAGUAAAUGUCAGAGGUUAUUUGGAACGGUGGUACAUUAAUGGAUGGGCAGCUGUUUAAUUCUGACUGUUGGUUACAAUGAGUACUGACAGUGUAAUGCAACCAACAUUUUUCAUCACUGAGCAGCCAGAGUUAGUCACACGUACUUGGCCUGAGGGGAAUCCAGUCUCUCUGGAUGACCAAUGACAAAAAUCCCACUGAGCCUCUGCCACAGAAGCAUCUCAUAUAGGAGUUACCAGGAAUCAGCACUUCCCAAAGGUCGUGGCCUCACAAACACUAGAGGUGUUUGGAAAGUGAGGAGAGCACACUAUGGAUAUGCCCUUCACUGUUUUCCACAGAGUAAUCUUCCUGAGCUUCUGAUUCACUCAUUACAGGGUAAUGUCCAGUCCUUUGCUCUUACAGAAUAGAUCUCAAAACAAGCUCUGCAGUAAUAAAGCAUAAACAUCUCCCAUGGUUAAAGUUUCUCUUGACAUUACUGUUAUCACUGGUUACCCUGCACAUUCCAGGGAUAGUUUAGAUUGUUUAGAAGGCAAACCACAAUCACAAAAACAGCUGUGGAACAACAGUGGUAUUCACUGACGUAAAAUGAAAUGCAUGAGAGUAGAACUAAUUUUAACUUUCAUGUGUAGUAGAUACAUGAUUGACAUAGAAGAAACAAAUUAAUUACAUCACCAGGAACAUUUGCUAGUGAAAAAAGAAGUUGGCUAAAAUGAUGUAGUGAAAUGCACUAAAUAAGCAUUUCCAUUGCUUCUUUUUUGUUUCUUUUUGUUUAUGCUGACAUAACAGCCCUUCAGAUAAAGAUACUUCUCACUGAAAUAUUUAAUGAAUGUAACUACAUACAAAUUACCUACAGAAUUACAUACAAAAUAACUUUUUGUAUGUAAGUUGAAGAUGAAAUGUUGAAUUUAUACUAAUAAUCUGAAGUGGUAUACCAAGGAAAAAAUUUGUAAGUUAUUAGAAAAUAGAAAAAUAUAUCAAGAAACGUCCAAUACAGGGAAGAAAUGCAUAUACACUUCAACUAGAAGGAACAUACUGACAAAACAUCAAUUUCAUCCUCUGUUGCCUGCAGAUUAUCAUAUCAUCAUAUCAUAUCAUAUCAUGUCAUUUCUUUCAUAAAAUUACCAGUUACAGGCAAAUUAUUUGGGGUAUGGUCAGUGAAUCUAUAAAGCUGUCACAAGGCAACAGAAUUGCCAAAAGAACCAAUUCUUCUCUUUCCCAUUCCCAGUGUCUUUUUUCUACUCCUGAUGCCACCUGAUUUGUGAUGGCCUAAGUGUUAGUAAUAACUAAAGUACCUAGUGUAUUUCAUCCUAAAUGCUAACAUAGAAAGGAGGAAAACUGUAUCCACACUUACACUGAGGUGUGAAAAUGUUGCAUAAAACAAGGGCUAUGUCUCAGAGAGCUUUGCCUCACAAUUUGUUGUUCAGCUUCUGCAUAUAUUAAAAUUUUAUUCACUGAAUGGGUGCAGCAGGCAUUUGAGAUGCAACCAGUGCAAUGACAUCAUGUGGCAAGAGUUUGUGGAAAAAGGGCUGUUGGUGAUAAAUAUAGACAUUUGCUCAUGUCUCAAGGGCUCAGUUGGUAUCCCAGUUGAUAAGUGAGUCUCUAAAUGUGAGCGAUGACGCAGAUCAAGCCUCACAUUUCUGCUCAGAGUGUAGAUGGCAGUUGCAGUGAUCAUUGUGCACAGGGCCUUAAGAUGAUACCAGGGAAAAAAAAGUUGGGGGUGGGAAUCAACAAUGCUGUUUCCUCUGAAAAGAAAUGUUGAUAAUGUGGUAAUAAUGUUACAUAGACAAAUUUUAUAAUGUGUAUGAUGUUUAGAAAAGCUAUCUUCUCUAUUUUUAUAAACCUGAUGAGAUAUAAAAGUGUUCACAAUGUCUAAUUUUUUGUCAGUUACAGGACAUCAGUCACCUUCUCUCCCUUUCAUGUUGGUUAAUGGCAAUUUAGGGUCAAGGAAAGUAGAUACUUUGGCUAAGACUGAGAGCAGAACACAGUUCUGACAAGGACAGACUGUGAAGGAGGUAGGGGAAAUGGGCAAUACAGAAAUACCAGAAGCAGGAACUCACCACUCACAAUUGCAGGAAAUAUUAUUAAUAGCUUAAUCUUGAUAAAAACUGGAAGCAUAAAAUAACUGUGGUAGAAAAGAAGGUGCAAUACUGCCUAUUCUUGAAGUGAAAAAAUGCUCCUGUGAGGCAGCAAGCAGCCAGCACUACCAUGAGUGGCCUCACUGUUUGGAAACAGACUGACACCAUGGCAAGCGUCAUCCCCUCUAUCCUCCACAACCUCGCAGUGCACACCUUUCCCUGCCUUUCUGCCAUCAAUAAGCAGCAAAAGGAGGGAUCAUCAUUUUGCAGCUAGAAGCGAGUGUCACAGAAAACAUUUCAUCAUUCAUGCUUUGAGAGUCACGGAACAGCAGGUAAUUACAUUUACCAGCUUUGUUGCUCCCCUGCCAAGUCCUUCCUGUGGGAAAGGGCUGUGGUUAUAUGCUACAUAACCAGCUCAGCAAGUCAUGUCAGCUCCCUGAUGAAAUGGAGGGAGAGAGCUUACCUCAUCACAAUUAAAAACCUGCUCUGUUUCCAUUUAUGUAGCACAGAGCUAACUGUUACGGGAAGGUUGGAUCACAGCUAUUUAACUCCACUGCCUUAACAUGAAAAAAUAACACAGGUAGAGCCAUUAGAGAGGAGGGAUGACAUCAGUUCAUCCUGAAUGAUGUCCUAGUCUGCGUAAAUAACCAAACCUUUCUUUAACAUGCUUUACCAUACCUAAGUGUACAAUAUGGAAUUAUUUUUUCUGAUCUGAAUUUUAAAAGUUCUAAUAUAACAAGAGACAAUUUUUAAAAAACAUUUAUAACAAUGAGCCUGAAUCUGAAAUAUUUUUCACUGGAAGCAAUCAAGGACAGAUACUCUCCAGUUAGUAGGUUUAUACUGGUAACUCCAAUCAGAAUGGAACCUUUGUUUAGCCUGAAAUAUAAAUUAGUGUUCCUGAGGCUUCCAGUGAAUAUCUACAGAAAUUUUAAAACAGGGUUUUAUCAAUUUAAGUGUUUCAGUAUUUAUUCUGGUGUAAUGAAAGCAUUAACAUUGUUGUAAAGAAGCACUAGUGAUUAAAGGGACAUUAUCCAUACGUGAAAAUAUACAUUCUUCAAGUUGUGAUUAAUAGGUAAGCACAAUUUUAUGAAAAUUAAGCAUUAAUCAAUUAGUAAUUCAGAAAUAGAUUCCCAAAUACAGUCAGUUUACUAUAUCAGAUGUGGACAUAGAGGGUUUUGUGUAUGACUACCUGAAUUUGAUAUAAAGUCACUACAGGAAAUUUAGUAUAUCUAAUCUUGCAGUAUCUAAAUAAAGUUUCUGAUACUGCAUGGUAUGAGUCAUUACCAAUCCAAUUAAGAAAGGGAUUAAAACAAGAAACAAAAGAUGAUGAUGGGGAGAGACUACUAAAAAUGAUUUAAAGAAACUGUUACACUGAAAGAAACUUACUAGUGGAGUACUUCAAAGAUCCAUCUUGAGACUGACUUUAAUAUUUGCAGUAAUUACACCAGCACUAGCUGUGCUACUGACUUAAAGACUGAGAGCUGAGCAGCAUUUAAAGAUUUUUUUAAAUGCCAUAUGGGAAACAUCUGAAGACUAGAGACAGAAUUGCUUAUGUGACUAUCUGAAAUUCAACAGUGCAAAAUGAAAGGGCAUCCACCCGGUGGCAGGUCAGCAUUUCCAUAUUAGCAUAAUCUCAGCUGUGGGAAACCAGCAGGACAGAAGACCCACAAAUGCUAUUCAGAGGCAGAAUCACUGGUGUUUCUGAUGUGAUGUGACUUUCAAAAGGACAAAUAGGAUCCUAGAACACAGCAGGUGAGUACAUAUACAAAAUAAAUAUUUAAGAAAGGACUUGUGAAACUUAAUCUGGAAUACUGUACACAUCUCUGUUCACUGUUGCUUAAGGAUGUUGAGUGGAAGGAGAGCAAGGGGGAAUUAGAAUGAUCAGGGCACUGGUGGCUCUCUAACAAGAGGAGACAACUGCUCUUGGCUUGCAUUACCUAACAGGUUGCAUUACCUAAGGUUGAGAAGGGAUCCCUAAAAAUAAAUCACAGAUUAAAUACUAGGGAGCAAGAAGAGCUCCUUUGGUGAAAAGUAGUGUGGGCCAAAAAGAAAUGGAUACAAACUGGCAACGAAGAAGUUUAGUCCUGACUCACAGCCUUGGCUUUCAGAUAUGACAUAACUGCAAAUAGUUUUAUGAAAGGAUGCUGGUAACAAAAUACUUGCAGCAGCAUGGUGAAACCAGAGUGGCCUAUGAAUGUGAGGACCAUUAUAGUUUCAUUAUAACAGAGGACUGUAGCUUGGUAAAGACUUUGAUCUUAAUGUGCAAUCUAAUCUUAUUCCACUUUUUUGUUCUAUUUAUGUCUCUUUCCUGGUUUGCUUUUUUUACAGGGGUUUUUUGUGGUGCCACAGUGUUCCCUGCACAGAAAGCACAAUCCCCAGCCAGUGAACCAGUAGCACUUCUGGAGAGAUGAGACACAAACCAGAAGCAAAUAGGAUAUAAUUUUUAAAGAUUACUAUUAAGUUUGUUUUUCUUGGGCCAGGUCUCAUAAGCCCUCAAAAAGAAACUUAAUACACCUAAGGAUAGCUCGGCUAUGACUUUUGGGGGGAUAAAAUAAGCAGGAUGACUUCUGCUACGGUGUUAGAAACAAAAAAGGUUUAAUAAAAGGCAAAAUAACAAACAGAAAAACUCGAGCCAGGUGCAAAGGUCUGCUUCUGGUAAAAACACCUCACAAAAGCACUUUAGCUCUUUUGUUCUCUUCUUUUCUACCUGAUGGGUCAGGCAGGACUUUUUGGCUUCUAUCCAGUUAUAUGUUCUCUAGUGUUUGGUUAAAUCCCUGAGGUCCUAUGAGGUGGCUUUUCACCUAAUCGUUGAGAGAAACUUCUGGGCUUCUUUCCUUUUUUGGGGAACAAAAGUUAGUUUUGCCACUCUGUCAUUAAGGGAUACACUCCUACAGAUUACAAGUAAACUCAUUUUGCAAGGUUAAAAGCAGUAUUUUAUUAGGCUAUAAAUACUAUUCUUUUGGAUUUGGCAUCAGUACCAUUUCAAAUCCAUUUUCAGCAGCUUCUAACUGGGUUAAAAUUAUCAUAAAAUUCAUUUCAGGGAAUUUGGAGAAUGAAGAUUAUAAACAAACAGCUUUUGAUUAUUAUCUAAGAGAAUCAAUAGCUGUCCUUGCCCAGGCUAGAGAGCAAAGACGUUUCUAAAUAAACAAGAUUAUUAUGAGUGCAGUUGGUAAUUAGGGUGUGCAGCAUCGAGUUACUUAACAUAAAAACAUUAGUUAGAAUAGUUGGGAUCAACAGCAAUCAAAAAUAAGAAAAGAACUAAAAGUGUUAGUCAUAAUAUGUCAUAAACAAAGUGUUGAGUUUUUCAGUUCACAAAUACAUGUGAAUCUUCUGAUCAGAACUUCUAAUGGAUAAAACUUGCUCCUUUCAUAUGUAUCAAAGCAAUAUAUGGGAUAAAUAAAUAAGUUUGCCUAAUCUGUGAUCUGACUCCUAUAUGUCAUGAAAACUUUGAUGUAAUCUUUGGCAGUUUUUUCCCAAUACAUUUGUGAUCUGUUUCAAAUAGCUAAUUAGAUUUUUUCCCAAACCAAAAUGCACUCUUUCCUAUAUUAUUAGUUUUGAAAUGUGACCCAAAAGACAGGCUUUACAAAUGGUCUUUUGAAGCCAAGUAAUAAACUCUGCCAGUCACUCAAUUACCUUUAUUUUUCUAACACAAGAAAACCUGAGAACAGUUGAGUUACAAGUAACAAUUUAAACCAUUACUCAGUUCAUCUGACUUAAUGAUGAAAUCUCCCUUUUAUAUUCAUGUAAGUAACAUCUGUCAAUGUACCCAUGAUUUAUCUCUUGCACUAUAUGUAACUUCUUAAAUUUCUCUUUUGCUAUUAUAAUAGAGAUCACUUGUUUAUCCCUUUUUCAGCUUGAGCUCAAAGAACAGAAAAAAAUCUAACAUUUCAUUGUAUGUUGGCAGUUUGUAUCACUUUCCAUCUUUCUUCUGUAGAUGAAAUGCCCAGAGCUUGCAGAAAAGGUAUAAUUAGUUAAAUUAUUUUCAUUCUUGAAAAUAAAGGCACAUUUUUUUUUCUAAAAGGCAUGUGAAUCCCUGGCACUUCUGUGGACUCACAGGAGUUGAAAUGGUUUUAUUAAUCUAAUCAUGGUGAAUUAUGAGCCAUAAAGAUUAUGUGUCACAUUGAACAGGCAUUGAACUAGCAAAAUUCAACUCCAUUAGAAGAAAUCAGCCUGUUUAAAACUCCUUACAUUAUCUAUAAGUAAUUAUUUGCUUCUAUAUUUAUAGAGUUGUGCUAUGUUGACAUUUGAUAUUAAAUAUUUGACAUAUCUCCAGGUGUAAUCUGAGUUUUAAAAAGUUUAAACAAUUUUUAAUGCAUAUGCUAAUAGCUAUUGAGGUCAAAGAGCACUAUAGAUCAAACAGUGCAUUGAAACUCACAUUAAUACCUUUUUUUUCAGCUAGUCCAUACUUUCUGACUGACUUCUAUCAAGGGAGAAUCAUGAGAAAAUUAUGCCUAGCUCUGGGCCAUCAUACUAUUGUCUCCUAACUACACAAAAACUAGAAUGUGAAAGUCGAGGUUUAUUUAUUGCAAUGAAAUAAAGCUGGCCAUUCAUAAUGA